CGAAGCUGUGCCUUGGAGUGGCUCUUCUUACACCUUUCCGCCUCAUCCCCACCUAAUUCGGGCAGGGAGUAGAAAUUUUUCCAAAUUAAGGGGAGAAAGGGGGGAGGGGCAUUAUCGAGAGAAAGCAAGAGGAGCGGCCGCAACUGAGAAUAUCCUGCCUGAUGCCAGGGAAUUGACUGACGUGUCUGUGGGGUUACGGAAGAAAACUGAAUAGGCAGCCAAGUUGGCCCAGGAGGGGCUGGGAGGCUUCCGGGUGCCGGGAAGGUGGUCCCGGUCUCCAUUUCCACUGGUACGAAGGCUUGGAGGCGCCUCUAUGGUGAGGGCUUUUGAACCGCCAUCCCCUCCUGAUCCCUUGGAAAGGAGGAGCCUUCAGAGCUGAGGAGGGGGAAGUCCAGGAAAAGCCCCUGGACUUGUGUGCGUCGCAUCCUUGGCUUGGGAUUUUAAGGACACGAAGGAGAAUUAACAGCGCCUCAAGAAUACCCAUGUGAAAAC
This 492-nucleotide long non-coding RNA is filed under the name Homo sapiens (human). RNAcentral's name for it is "non-protein coding lnc-LINGO2-2:1". The record is from RNAcentral. Lineage: Eukaryota; Metazoa; Chordata; Mammalia; Primates; Hominidae.